CUUUAAGUGGUAGAGAGUGGGGAGGUAGGGUCUCGUUCCUGCAGAUGCCCUUCGGGAAGACUGCACAGACGUCCAGCCCCAGGAUGGCCUGGCUUGUGUGGACAUCAUGGAAGAGAGGAUGGAAAAUUGUAAGAGCCAGAAUACCAGGAAGUCUGCUAUGAAAGUUUCUCCUAGAAAUGGCUACAUAUACAUGACCAGAAAAAUGGUGACAUCAAUAGACAUGACAGGUGCGUUCCCUCAACUCUCAUGGAAGAAGCAGCUUCUUACAUGAUACAGAGACCCUCAUGGAAAAAUGUGCAGAAUGUAAGAGAUGUUGGAGCGCUCAGCUCUGAAUGGGAUGUCUUCAUGAACCCCUCCUCUCAAGGCUCAGGGAUCAACAAGGAAGAGGAGGUGGAAAAAUUCUCAGAGCCAGAGGCAGUGGAUGACUCCGAGAAAGCAGUGUCUUCCAGACCAAACAGGGAUUAUUUUUAUAUGAACUCAUACAGAUUGAGAAGACCCAUACAGGUUCAAACUAGAAAAAAUUCCCAGCACUGAAAAGGGGCAGUAGAC
Molecule: long non-coding RNA, 549 nt
Organism: Mesocricetus auratus (golden hamster)
Lineage: Eukaryota; Metazoa; Chordata; Mammalia; Rodentia; Cricetidae
Exons: 3
Source: RefSeq, a predicted model, not a curated record